CUAGCUAACUGAAAUCUUAAUUAAUAUUAAGAUAAAGUAAGAGAAAAUAAUGAUAUUAUCUUACUAUUAGUGUCGUCUAAAUUUGGUGCCAGAAGACUCGGUAAGACCCUAGACGCAAACGUUAAUCGUCAUAAUCAGGCGUAAAGGGUGUGUAGGCGGCUUUAAAAUAAUAUAUUUCUUAUAGCUAAUAAUAAAAUAUAUUCUAAUUAAAGCUAGAAUCUAAAAGAGGAUAAGCUAAACAACAUAAUUAAUUAGGAUUGACAACUUAUAAUAAUGUGGAGUACUAAAGGUUAAAGCUAUUUAUCUACUUAAGAUUGACGCUCAGAAACGAAGGGGAGAAUAAGAAACUUAGAUUAGAGACCUAAUUAUCUCUCUCAGUAAACGAUGAAUGGUAGUUAUUAAAAAUAAAAAUUAAUAAUAUUAAUAUUAUUAUUAUUAUAUGAUAUUAGUGACGAGGUUAACACGAUGACCAUUCCGCCUUGUUAGUAAGACUGCAAAGUUGAAAACAAAAAAAUUAGUCGG
RNAcentral lists this ribosomal RNA (522 nucleotides) under Boletellus ananas. Its description in RNAcentral is "partial small subunit ribosomal RNA". It matches the Rfam family "Bacterial small subunit ribosomal RNA", at positions 417 to 916 of the family's 1533-position model. The record is from RNAcentral. Lineage: Eukaryota; Fungi; Basidiomycota; Agaricomycetes; Boletales; Boletaceae.